UAGGGAAUCUUCGGCAAUGGACGAAAGUCUGACCGAGCAACGCCGCGUGAGUGAAGAAGGUUUUCGGAUCGUAAAACUCUGUUGUUAGAGAAGAACAAGGACGUUAGUAACUGAACGUCCCCUGACGGUAUCUAACCAGAAAGCCACGGCUAACUACGUGCCAGCAGCCGCGGUAAUACGUAGGUGGCAAGCGUUGUCCGGAUUUAUUGGGCGUAAAGCGAGCGCAGGCGGUUUCUUAAGUCUGAUGUGAAAGCCCCCGGCUCAACCGGGGAGGGUCAUUGGAAACUGGGAGACUUGAGUGCAGAAGAGGAGGGUGGAAUUCCAUGUGUAGCGGUGAAAUGCGUAGAUAUAUGGAGGAACACCAGUGGCGAAGGCGGCUCUCUGGUCUGUCACUGACGCUGAGGCUCGAAAGCGUGGGGAGCAAACAGG
This 429-nucleotide ribosomal RNA is filed under the name Gemmatimonadota bacterium. RNAcentral's name for it is "Gemmatimonadetes bacterium partial 16S ribosomal RNA". It matches the Rfam family "Bacterial small subunit ribosomal RNA", at positions 355 to 776 of the family's 1533-position model. The record is from RNAcentral. Lineage: Bacteria; Pseudomonadati; Gemmatimonadota.